AUUGAACGCUGGCGGCAGGCCUAACACAUGCAAGUCGAACGAGUGGCGGACGGGUGAGUAAUGUCUGGGAAACUGCCCGAUGGAGGGGGAUAACUACUGGAAACGGUAGCUAAUACCGCGUACCAUCGGAUGUGCCCAGAUGGGAUUAGCUCGUAGGUGGGGUAACGGCUCACCUAGGCGACGAUCCCUAGCUGGUCUGAGAGGAUGACCAGCGAAACGGGAACUGAGACACGGUCCAGACUCGUACGGGAGGUAGCAGUGGGGAAGAUUGAACAAUGGGGGGAAGCUUGAUGCAGCAAUGCCGAGUGUGGGAAGAAGGCCUUAGGGUUGUAAAGUACUUGUAGAGGGGAGGCGUUACCAGCAGAAGAAGCACCGGCUAAAGCCGUGCCAGCAGGCGCGGUAAUGC
RNAcentral lists this ribosomal RNA (406 nucleotides) under uncultured bacterium. Its description in RNAcentral is "partial 16S ribosomal RNA". It matches the Rfam family "Bacterial small subunit ribosomal RNA", at positions 29 to 526 of the family's 1533-position model. The record is from RNAcentral.